UUAUGUAUUUUCUAACUCUGUUCUUAUUCUUUGCAGAUUUUUAUAUGGAAAACCCCGGAGGUGUCCCUGAACGCGUUGGACAAAACGAAACGGGUUCCAAGGUUUACGCCGCUGCCUCCAAGCCCUCUGAUGCUGAUCAUCUGAGGCAGCGUGCUCUGGAGAAUUCCUAUUCUAGGGCGCGUUCCCCUACUCCUCCUAACGAAGUCCCACGAGCUGAGGAAGGGGAGGUACCUCCGGAGGUACCCAAAGACACUACUCCUGGGCAGUCUCCUG
Molecule: long non-coding RNA, 273 nt
Filed under: Zostera marina
Lineage: Eukaryota; Viridiplantae; Streptophyta; Magnoliopsida; Alismatales; Zosteraceae
Description: long non-coding RNA (ZMAR_LNC005551)
Source: RNAcentral